RNAcentral lists this long non-coding RNA (445 nucleotides) under Salvator merianae (Argentine black and white tegu). RNAcentral's name for it is "lncRNA (ENSSMRG00000014693.1)". The record is from RNAcentral. Lineage: Eukaryota; Metazoa; Chordata; Lepidosauria; Squamata; Teiidae.
AUGGACUUAAAAGCAACUGUCAGUUCUGUCCCUAAAGACAAGCUUUGGCAAAAACUGCAGAGCCUAGUUAAUACCAGGGGACUGGUGCACUGGAUUCUGGAUCUAACAGACAGACACACACACACUGGAUUCUGGACCGAAAGGUUAGAUAUAAGCAAGGUUCCAAUGAAAGCAAAAUUCACUGGGUGAAGGAAAAAGGAAUCCUUGAAGGUGUUGCUUUAAAAAUUGCUUGACAAGGUUGCAGAAAUAGAAAAGUGAACUAGUGUUGAUGAGGAGACAGUUUAAGGCUGCUUGUUAGCAUAUGCCAAAAGCCUCAAUGUGUGCUCAGAGGUCCCAUCAUUAAUUAAUACAAAGCCAAGUGCCAAAGCAGAUGAAGCCGAGUCAGCUUUGAGUUUUCUUGACUCCAAUGGUUGAUCAAAUUACUUCAAACUGAAUUAAAGUUGUC